RNAcentral lists this ribosomal RNA (408 nucleotides) under uncultured bacterium. RNAcentral describes it as "bacterial SSU rRNA". It matches the Rfam family "Bacterial small subunit ribosomal RNA", at positions 917 to 1322 of the family's 1533-position model. The record is from RNAcentral.
GGACCCGCACAAGCAGUGGAGCAUGUGGUUUAAUUCGAAGAUACGCGCAGAACCUUACCAACACUUGACAUGUUCGUCGCGAAACUAAGAGAUUAGUUUUUUCAGUUAGGCUGGACGAAACACAGGUGCUGCAUGGCUGUCGUCAGCUCGUGUCGUGAGAUGUUGGGUUAAGUCCCGCAACGAGCGCAACCCACGUCUUUAGUUGCCAGCAUUUAGUUGGGCACUCUAGAGAGACCGCCGGUGAUAAACCGGAGGAAGGUGUGGAUGACGUCAAGUCAUCAUGCCCCUUACAUCCUGGGCUACACACGUACUACAAUGCUACGGACAAAGGGCAGCAAACUCGCGAGAGCUAGCAAAUCCCAUAAACCGUGGCUCAGUUCAGAUCGUAGGCUGCAACUCGCCUACGUG